GGGAAACUGCCUGAUGGAGGGGGAUAACUACUGGAAACGGUAGCUAAUACCGCAUAACCUCGCAAGAGCAAAGAGGGGGACCUUAGGGCCUCUCGCCAUCAGAUGUGCCCAGAUGGGAUUAGCUAGUAGGUGAGGUAAUGGCUCACCUAGGCGACGAUCCCUAGCUGGUCUGAGAGGAUGACCAGCCACACUGGAACUGAGACACGGUCCAGACUCCUACGGGAGGCAGCAGUGGGGAAUAUUGCACAAUGGGCGCAAGCCUGAUGCAGCCAUGCCGCGUGUGUGAAGAAGGCCUUCGGGUUGUAAAGCACUUUCAGCGAGGAGGAAGGCGGUAAGGUUAAUAACCUCAUCGAUUGACGUUACUCGCAGAAGAAGCACCGGCUAACUCCGUGCCAGCAGCCGCGGUAAUACGGAGGGUGCAAGCGUUAAUCGGAAUGACUGGGCGUAAAGCGCACGCAGGCGGUCUGUUAAGUUGGAUGUGAAAUCCCCGGGCUUAACCUGGGAACUGCAUUCAAAACUGACAGGCUAGAGUCUUGUAGAGGGGGGUAGAAUUCCAGGU
RNAcentral lists this ribosomal RNA (559 nucleotides) under uncultured bacterium. Its description in RNAcentral is "bacterial SSU rRNA". It matches the Rfam family "Bacterial small subunit ribosomal RNA", at positions 120 to 674 of the family's 1533-position model. The record is from RNAcentral.